CCUACGGGAGGCAGCAGUGGGGAAUAUUGCGCAAUGGGCGAAAGCCUGACGCAGCGACGCCGCGUGAGGGAUGAAGGUCUUCGGAUCGUAAACCUCUGUCAGCAGGGAAGAACGGUCACUGUGCUAAUCAUCAGUGAAUUGACGGUACCUGCAAAGGAAGCACCGGCUAACUCCGUGCCAGCAGCCGCGGUAAUACGGAGGGUGCGAGCGUUAAUCGGAAUUACUGGGCGUAAAGCGCUCGUAGGCGGUAUGUCAAGUCAAGUGUGAAAUCCCCGCGCUCAACGGGGGAACUGCCUUUGAAACUGGCAGACUGGAGUGUGUGAGAGGAUAGUGGAAUUCCAGGUGUAGGAGUGAAAUCCGUAGAUAUCUGGAGGAACAUCAGUGGCGAAGGCGACUAUCUGGCACAUAACUGACGCUGAGGAGCGAAAGCGUGGGUAGCAAACAGGAUUAGAUACCCGUGUAGUC
This 465-nucleotide ribosomal RNA is filed under the name uncultured bacterium. Its description in RNAcentral is "partial 16S ribosomal RNA". It matches the Rfam family "Bacterial small subunit ribosomal RNA", at positions 338 to 795 of the family's 1533-position model. The record is from RNAcentral.